This 4149-nucleotide long non-coding RNA is filed under the name Salmo salar (Atlantic salmon). RNAcentral describes it as "lncRNA (ENSSSAG00000091616.1)". The record is from RNAcentral. Lineage: Eukaryota; Metazoa; Chordata; Actinopteri; Salmoniformes; Salmonidae.
UAUUAAAAAAAAUCAUGACAGCUGUGAUGGAAACAGGAAGCUUUAGUACAAUUUUAUAAAUGCAGACAGAUAAUUUGUUGUUUGACAAGGUGGGAUCUUUUUGUGUCAAUAAAAUGUAUUAUGCGAGAAAUGGUGGUGGAAAUGCCUUUAUGAUGGUCCAUUCCAAUAAAUAUUGAAGGUCUUAUUCUAGUGACAUGACGAUUGAUGGUUGACUGCCGUUUGACAAAUAAAAAUAUUCUCGCUCUAAUCCAUAAUAAUCUCAUCAUGUAGACUAACCUACCUGCACCACCUGCCUGCACCGUAUCUGCGAGCUGUUGACUGACUAGAGCACGGUGCAUUUGCUAUUUAACUCAACAGUUUUUAUAUUUUAGCCAUUUAGCUGACACUCUUAUCCAGAGUGACUUAUUGUAGUGAGUGCAGACAUUUUCAAACUUUUCUUCCAUACUGUUUUUUGUAACAGUUGAAAGUGCGAUGGGUUGAAAGUGCGAUGGAAACACAUUGAACUUUAUAGAUGUUUAUUCAGAACAUGAAAACUUAAGCGAAAAAGUACAUUUUGUGUGCACUACGUCAUCACACUGAUUUUUAUCUGCAACAAGUCAGUUUGGUGGAAACACACCACUGGUGGGGAAAUGUGCUUAUGUUCUUCAUGCAGAUUUUAGAAUAUUAGCAUAAAAAUCUGUUGCCAACUGGACGGAAACCUAGCUAUUGUUUAAGGUAGAUUUGUGGCAGUGCUUUUCUAACCAGGGGGGUGUAUGUGUUUCAGAGUAUGUGGGUUUUUAAUGAAAAUAGCUAGGCAGACAACGGUAUACAGUAUCUUUGACAAACAAAAGCAGACAAAGUCAUACUACAGGAGAUGUCAUCCCUUUUAGAGCAGGCCUACACAUAAUGGGUUUAACAGAGAGAGGGAGAGAGGACAAAUUAGUGCCAAGGAAGUGUAUUGGCGACAUCAGGGUUGUGUAAGAAUGCAAGUGAAGUACAGAAAACAUAAGUUGUUACACAAUUGGUGUGACUCAGGCAUGAUUUAAAAGGGAAAAGGAAAGGGGGAUACCUAGUCAGUUGCACAACUGAAAUGUGUCUUCUGCAUUUAACCCAACCCCUCUGAAUCAGAGAGGUGUAGGGGAGCUGCCUUAAUCGACAUCCACGUCUUCAGCGCCCGGGGAACAGUGGGUUAAUUGCCUUGCUCAGAGGCAGAACGACAGAUUUUUACGUUGUCAGCUCGGGGAUUCGAUCCAGCAACCUUUCAGUUACUGGCCCAACGCUCCUACCCGCCGGGCUACAAAAAGCCUGUGUACCACAUGUGCAGCACACGUGGAACCACUCAUCGCCACAUAUCACAGUGGUGUAGGCAUAAUUCUUUGCAUCCCAGGUGAACUGUAAAAAUUGACAACACUUUUUUUGUGUGUAUUUCCAUUCUGACAGACUACAUAAUGAUAACAACACCCAGUCAUCAAACUCAAUGAGAUAAUUUGUGUGUCAGUGUGUGUGUGCAUGUGCAUGUUUGUGUGCUCCUCUCCAGGUAGAGUGCUCCUCUAGGUAGAGUACUCCUCUCUAGGUAGAGUGCUCCUCUCUAGGUAGAGUGCUCCUCUAGGUAGAGUACUCCUCUCUAGGUAGAGUGCACCUCUCUAGGUAGAGUGCUCCGCUCUAGGUAGAGUGCUCCUCUCUAGGUAGAGUGCUCCUCUAGGUAGAGUACUCCUCUCUAGGUAGAGUGCUCCUCUCUAGGUAGAGUGCUCCUCUCUAGGUAGAGUGCUCCUCUCUAGGCAGAGUACUCCUCUCUAGGUAGAGUACUCUGCUCUAGGUAGAGUACUCCUCUCUAGGUAGAGUGCUCCUCUCUAGGUAGAGUGCUCCUCUCUAGGUAGAGUACUCCUCUCUAGGUAAAGUGCUCCUCUCUAGGUAGAGUCAUUUUCUCUAGGUAGAGUACUCCUCUCUAGGUAAAGUGCUCCUCUCUAGGUAGAGUGCUCCUCUUUAAGUAGAGUCAUUUUCUCUAGGUAGAGUGCUCCUCUCUAGGUAGAGUGCUCCUCUCUAGGUAGAGUACUCCGCUCUAGGUAGAGUGCUCCUCUCUAGGUAGAGUGCUCCUCUCUAGGUAGAGUACUCCUCUCUAGGUAGAGUGCUUUUUUCUAGGUAGAGUACUCCUCUCUAGGUAGAGUACUCCUCUCUAGGUAGAGUACUCCUCUCUAGGUAGAGUGCUCCUCUCUAGGUAGAGUACUCCUCUCUAGGUAGAGUGCUCCUCUCUAGGUAGAGUACUCCUCUCUAGGUAGAGUACUCCUCUCUAGGUAGAGUGCUCCUCUCUAAGUAGAGUACUCCUCUCUAGGUAGAGUACUCCUCUCUAGGUAGAGUGCUCCUCUCUAGGUGAAUGCUACUUCUUCCUCAUCAGGGUCCUACUUUUAGCCAGAGCUAUUUGUUUUUGCACUCUGUUACUAAGCAACAUCACAGACCCUUCUCACAGAAAGGCCGUUAUGAAAACAUGUGUACAGUGGAGGAAAGGGCAUACUUAGUCAGUUGCACAACUGAAUGCAUUCAACUGAAAUGUGUCUUCCUCAUUUAACCCAACUCAUCUGAAUCAGAGAGGUGCGGGGGGCUGCCUUAAUCGACGUCCACGUCAUCGGCACCCAAGGAACAGUUUUUGUUGAGGGUUAACUGCCUUGCUCAAUGGCAGAACGGCAGAUUUGUCCACCUUGCCGGCUCGGGGUGUGUGUGUGUAUGGGCGUGUGUGUGUCAGACCUGGGUUCAAAUGCUAUUUAGGAAUUUAAAUUACUUUCAAAGACAUUUGGAAGAAAGUGUUAGGAUAUACAGUGCAUUCGGAAAAUAUUCAGUCCCCUUGACUUUUUGUUACGUUACAGCCUUAUUCUAAAACGUAUUACAUUGUACCGCCAUAAUAACAAAGCAAAAACAAUUUAUCAAUUUUAACAAAUGUAUAAAAUAUUAAACUGAAAUAUCACAUUUGCAUAAGUAUUCAGACCCUUUACUUUGUUGAAGCACCUUUAGCAGUGAUUACAGCUUUGAGUCUUCUUGGGUUUGAUGCUACAAGCUUGGUACACCUGUAUUUGGGGAGUUUCUUCCAUUCUUCUCUGCAGAUCCUCUUAAGCUCUGUCAGGUUGGAUAGGGAGUGUCGCUGCACAGCUAUUUUCAGGUCUCUCCAGAGAUGUUCAAAUCGGGUUAAAUUCCGGGGUCUGGCUGGGCCACUCAAGGACAUUCAGAGACUUGUCCCGAAGCCACUCCUGCAUUGUCUUGGCUGUGUGCUUAGGGUCAUUGUUGUGUUGGAAGGUGAACCUUCACCCCAGGCUGAUGUCCUGAGUGCUCUGGAGCAGGUUUUCAUCAAGGAUCUCUGUACUUUGCUCCAUUCAUCUUUCCCUCAAUCCUGACUAGUCUCAGAGUCCCUGCCCCUGAAAAACAUCCCUACAGCAUGAUACUGCCACCACCAUGCUUCACCGUAGGGAUGGUGCCACAUUUUCUCCAGACGUGACACUUGGCAUUCAGGCCAAAAAGUUCAAUCUGGUUUCAUUAGACCAGAGAAUCUGGUUUCUCAUGGUCUGAGAGUCUUGAGGUGCCUUUUGGCAGACUCCAAGUGGGCUGUCAUGUGCCUUUUACUGAAGAGUGGCUUCUUUCUGUCCACUACCGUAAAGGCCUGAUUAGUGGAGUGCUGCAGAGAUGGUUGUCCUUCUGGAAGGUUCUCCCAUCUCCACAGAGGAAUUCUGGAGCUCUGUCAGACUGACCAUCGGGUUCUUGGUCACCUCCCUGACCAAGGCCCUUCUCCCCCGAUUGCUCAGUGUGGCCGGGCGGCCAGCCCUAGAAAGAGUAUUGGUGGUUCCAAACUUCUUCCAUUUUAGAAUGAUGGAGGCCACUGUAUUCUUGGGAUCUUAAAUGCUGCAGAAAUGUUUUGGUACCCUUCCCCAGAUCUGUGCCUCGACAAAAUCCUGUCUCGGAGCUCUACGGACAAUUCCUUUGACCUCAUGGCUCGGUUUUUGCUCUGACAUGCACUGUCAACUGUGGGACCUCAUAUAGACAGAUGUGAGCCUUUCCAAGUCAUGUCCAAUCAAUUGAAUUUACCACAGGUGGACUCCAAUCAAGUUGUAGAAACAUCUCAAGGAUGAUCAAUGGAAACAGGAUGCACCUGAGCUCAAUUUCGAAUCUCAUAGCAAAGGGUCUGAAUAC